UAACACCUGGAAACAGAUGCUAAUACCGGAUAACAACAGAUGAUGCCUAUCAACUGUUUAAAAGAUGGUUCUGCUAUCACUCUUGGAUGGACCUGCGGUGCAUUAGCUAGUUGGUAGGGUAACGGCCUACCAAGGCGAUGAUGCAUAGCCGAGUUGAGAGACUGAUCGGCCACAUUGGGACUGAGACACGGCCCAAACUCCUACGGGAGGCAGCAG
RNAcentral lists this ribosomal RNA (216 nucleotides) under uncultured Lactobacillus sp. RNAcentral describes it as "partial 16S ribosomal RNA". It matches the Rfam family "Bacterial small subunit ribosomal RNA", at positions 144 to 354 of the family's 1533-position model. Lineage: Bacteria; Bacillati; Bacillota; Bacilli; Lactobacillales; Lactobacillaceae. The record is from RNAcentral.